This is a long non-coding RNA of Sarcophilus harrisii (Tasmanian devil), 385 nucleotides long. RefSeq lists it as uncharacterized. The transcript has 3 exons. The record is from RefSeq and is a predicted model, not a curated record. Lineage: Eukaryota; Metazoa; Chordata; Mammalia; Dasyuromorphia; Dasyuridae.
GGAGACAGAAUGAAACUCUAGAGCCCUCAUUCUGUGUUCUAGCAGACUAUUCCUCAAUGCUAAAAAGCUUGGCAUAGAAUAUCAAGUGAGAAAACCUCAAGACACCAUAUAAAUGCUGGGUAAUCCAGUGAUUAUACGCUGUUAAUAAUAAUCUCACAUUUCCAUGUAGCCCUAGACCUUCUGUUACAUCAUCACAAGGAAUCCCAGAUAUGGAAAGUUGCUCCCACAGAGGCAAUUAAGGGGAAAGUACACGUAAGGCGGCAAUGACUUUGAUCUUCUCAGGCCACCGUUCUGCCAGAUAUUCAAGCAAAAUGUUCAUGAAGCCACACAUCAUGAGGCAGUUCUUCCUUUUCUCCCCCUCACUACAGGAAAAUAAACUCCAUAA